Molecule: ribosomal RNA, 771 nt
Filed under: Mammaliicoccus lentus
Lineage: Bacteria; Bacillati; Bacillota; Bacilli; Caryophanales; Staphylococcaceae
Description: bacterial SSU rRNA
Rfam family: Bacterial small subunit ribosomal RNA
Source: RNAcentral
CAGUCGAGCGAACAGAUGAGAAGCUUGCUUCUCUGAUGUUAGCGGCGGACGGGUGAGUAACACGUGGGUAACCUACCUAUAAGACUGGGAUAACUCCGGGAAACCGGGGCUAAUACCGGAUAAUAUAUUGAACCGCAUGGUUCAAUGUUGAAAGACGGUUUCGGCUGUCACUUAUAGAUGGACCCGCGCCGUAUUAGCUAGUUGGUAAGGUAACGGCUUACCAAGGCAACGAUACGUAGCCGACCUGAGAGGGUGAUCGGCCACACUGGAACUGAGACACGGUCCAGACUCCUACGGGAGGCAGCAGUAGGGAAUCUUCCGCAAUGGGCGAAAGCCUGACGGAGCAACGCCGCGUGAGUGAUGAAGGUCUUAGGAUCGUAAAACUCUGUUGUUAGGGAAGAACAAAUUUGUUAGUAACUGAACAAGUCUUGACGGUACCUAACCAGAAAGCCACGGCUAACUACGUGCCAGCAGCCGCGGUAAUACGUAGGUGGCAAGCGUUAUCCGGAAUUAUUGGGCGUAAAGCGCGCGUAGGCGGUUUCUUAAGUCUGAUGUGAAAGCCCACGGCUCAACCGUGGAGGGUCAUUGGAAACUGGGGAACUUGAGUGCAGAAGAGGAGAGUGGAAUUCCAUGUGUAGCGGUGAAAUGCGCAGAGAUAUGGAGGAACACCAGUGGCGAACGCGGCUCUCUGGUCUGUAACUGACGCUGAUGUGCGAAAGCGUGGGGAUCAACAGGAUUAGAUACCCUGGUAGUCCACGCCGUAGACGAUGA